RNAcentral lists this ribosomal RNA (387 nucleotides) under Triticum aestivum (bread wheat). RNAcentral describes it as "partial small subunit ribosomal RNA". The record is from RNAcentral. Lineage: Eukaryota; Viridiplantae; Streptophyta; Magnoliopsida; Poales; Poaceae.
AUGUUGAGGUCGAUCAAUUUAACCGAGUUGCCAGAUAUGUUCCCGUGGAUGUUGACUACCAAUGGUCUCAUUACCAUGAAGUCCAUGUAUGCAGAUCUUAUGAAUUCUAUACCUUUGUUUCUCAUAAUGCACAUCUGGAAAACAAAAUUUUCUUCUAAAAUCAAAGUUUUCAUGAGUUUCUUGCAUAGGGGGGUAGUUCUUACCAAAGAUAGUCUUGCAAAAUGUAAUUGGCAGGGUAGCAAACAAUGUUGUUAUUGUAAUCAUGAGGAAACAAUUCAUCAUUUAUUACUAUCAUGUUCGCUCACUACAUUGAUUUGGCACACAAUUCAUGUUCUUUCAAUUUAUCACCACCAACAAGUAUACCAAAUUUGUUUGGUAAUUGGCUAG